This is a long non-coding RNA of Papaver somniferum (opium poppy), 1250 nucleotides long. RefSeq lists it as uncharacterized. The record is from RefSeq and is a predicted model, not a curated record. Lineage: Eukaryota; Viridiplantae; Streptophyta; Magnoliopsida; Ranunculales; Papaveraceae. The transcript has 5 exons.
UUUUUUCCCCCUUCUUUCUUCUUCAGCCAUGAAACCUAUAGAGGAGAUCUAGAUGAAGAAAGAAAUUGAGCAGAGAAGUUAGGGUUUGUGUCGAAAUCAUGAAUCCUAAUCUAAAUUUCCGAUUCUAUCUCAGAGAAAUAAAGGUGUUGGUUAUGAACCCUUGAGUUGGUCAAUUCCAGUUGGGAUUUGAGAAUAAUCGAAAACGAGAUUUUGGGUGUUCUUGUUUUGAGAUUGAAGGUACGAUUUCAAUCUUAUUUCUUCCUGCUCCGAUCUAUUUAUCACCAGGGAAAGAUUGAUAUUGCAUGCGAAAUGUUUGGUAAAUUGACUGAGACAGCCUGAACCUAUUACCAGCCAGCACCUACGUAGUGCUUUCAUUGCAUGAUUGGUCAGGAAGAUAAAAAGGAAAAAUUGCAUGCAGUGAUGACUACCUUUUAAUCAACCAGAUAGUUCUGAUAAAGCUCAGGACUAAAAAUUCCAAAGAAUAGACUUCAUAGGUACAAAUGGAGGCACAAGACGUAGCUGGACUACUGAAAGUCUCACAUACGCAAUGCUGUUGACAUGAGAUGGUGGCUAAGUUUUCAAAAAGUUCAAAGGCACACAAGUUCGGUGGUAAUCUCUCAAGCUCAGCCAUAAACGGCGACCAUGCGGAAAAAAGAUUGACUUGCGGACUAUCGAUAUUUCCCUGAACCAGACCUUCCAGAAGUGGUUCUCAUGGAGGACUAUGUCGAAAGUAUUCGUGCAUCUUUGCCUGAACUCCCAGAAAUGAAGCGCUGGAGAUUUGAGAAUAUGGGCCUCUCAGCAUGCAGGAUGUACUCGUGCAUCUUUUUUACAAAAAAAUUCCCCCACAGCAUGUAGUGGUGCCGUUUCGUCAGGUUAUUCGGUCGGCCCUUCCACCGUGGCAACGGUUGUACUAGUUUAUUGAAAGUAUAGCUAUUGCUACACCAUAUAUUGCCACACCUUCGAUAUAGGUGUUGUAAAAGAAAAUUUCUACGCACGGUACUUUUUAGGUGCAGCUAAAAGUUAUAAUUUACUGCCGCGAAAUAAAACUUUUGCCACAUAGUUAUAGCAACAAUAUGAAAAGAGUGUGGCAAAAAAGCAUAAUCUCUUGAUGCACCAAUAAAGAUUGGGUGCAGCAAUAGACUUCUUGCUACAUAGGUUUUCGCGAUAUUAAUAGGAGUUUUUGCCAUAAUUAUUGGGUGCUGCAAUAUUGUAGUUGCAGGAAAACCUACAACUAGACCCCAAUAUAACUA